GUUUAAGACAACUUUUAUCAAAAGUACCAACAAGUUUAGAUCAUACUUUAAUUUAGGAACUUUAUUAUAAAACUGUAACACCCAAAUUGUACAGCUAAUUAUGCUAUGUUUCUCGAAUAAUUCAAACUUUAAAAAUUUACAAUCGGGUGACCGAUAUAAUGAUAUUUCAUGUCAACAUGCGAUUGCUGACUUCCAGGUUGGUGAUACUCUCGACGACGAAAGGUUAACCUGCAAUAGAAUCGACUCAAUGGUUGAGUAACUCUCCAUAACGACCAGCACAUGUUUUGUAUACCAGACGCCUUUUUAUCUGAUACAGACUCUGCAAUGGCACUCGAUGCUAAAUAUUUGAAAGGCAAAAUAAAAUCCGAUGUUGAAAAGGAUUGAAACUCAAAUAUUCAAAAAUCGUGCAAAUUUAGAGAAAACAACCGUAUCAGCGAUAGUUAUGUCCGUACUACUUUGUUGCUAUAUUGAAUACUAAUAUUAUAAUGGUGCAUGUACAGUCCUUGAAUGGUGUAAUCUUCCCACUAACACCAUACACCAUUACACCAUACACCAUACACCAUUACACCAUACACCUUGUACCAUUACACCAUACACGUUACACCUUUGCAUCAUACACCUUACAUAUUACACCAUACACCAUUCCCCAUUCUAUGUACACGAUCCGAAAUUACCCAUAAUGCAAUAAAAAUUCACAUAUUAAGAUUAUUAUUAUUGUUUAUGUUUACAAUUCGAAAAAAAUUAAAUAAAAAGAACUUCGUUUUCAACCAAUGAAAUGUCGUACACCAUCAUUCACACCAUUCCCGAUCGCACGUUACACAAUCACACCAUUCCUCAAACACCAUUACACCAUUCCCCUUACACCAUAUACCAUAUGCUAUACACCAUUACACCAUACACGUUUUUUGGGAAGUUUACACCAUCCAAGGGCUGUAGUAAGCGCAAAUCUUAGAAGAGCUGAUACCCCAGAAGUAGUGCACCUACUACAGAUUAUUAUAAAGAGAGAUUAAUUUGGAAUUUUCAUGUUAUUUAGCUCUUCAACUCUUUCGAUUUUUAUACAUUCCUGGCUAUUAAAUAUUCGACUUUCAGUGUUCCUGAUGAAAAUCAACCCAGAGGUCGCUUCAAACGCAUUUAAUUUAUAAUGUGUUAUUUUCAGUUAUUUAGGGAACUGGUUGAUUGCAAGUUCACUUAAGGUUUAGAGGUGACACUUACAAGUGUUCAGUUUCGUCUAUGCAGUUUUCUUUUACAUUUAUCUAUAAAAAAAUUCUAAAUGUAUGACCAUCAUACUUACGUCAAACAAAUCUAUUUUUGUAUUAUCAUUCGGUACUGAGGCAAACAUUUUUUUUUUUUUAAAGCUCUGCACUUUUGUUCUUUUUUCAGUACUAUACUCAUUGUUCUUAUGAAACACAAAACUGUUUAAUCAAAAUUAAAAGUCAAC
Molecule: long non-coding RNA, 1438 nt
Filed under: Mytilus galloprovincialis (Mediterranean mussel)
Lineage: Eukaryota; Metazoa; Mollusca; Bivalvia; Mytilida; Mytilidae
Source: RNAcentral